GUUCUGUAGCAUUUUCCAUGUAUAUUAGUCCCUUCCUCAGCUAGAUUUUGACCUUACUGAUGGCAGACUAUAUUUUCUAUUUUAAGAGUUUGCCAUAGCCACUAGGACAAUGACACACACAUAAUAAGUGCUUUAUAAAUAUUUGUGGAGUGCAUGAAUGACGGAAUUAUAGGCAAUUAAGACAAGGUUGCAUAUAGCUGUGUGGCAUCGCUAUACACAAGGGAGUGGCAAUAACUUAAGUGAGAUAGCAAAGGCCUGGAUAAGAUAAAAAAGAAAUAGAUUCAGGAAGUGGGUUAUAAAAUAGGCAACAGUUAUAAAGUGUUUAUUAUUUGAAGUAACUUUAGAGGUAUUUGCUCCUUUUUUUUUUUUUUUGAGACAGUGCAGUGGUGCAAUUAUAGAUUACUAUAACCUUGAACUUCUGAGCUCAGCCAUCCUCCCAUCUCAGCCUCCCAAAGUGCUGAGAUUACAAGCAUGAGUCACCAUGCCCAGCCUACUCUUUACAACAACAAUCCUAUGAGGUAGGUACUACUAUCAUCCCUACUUUAUAGAUGAAAUGCAAAUAGAUAAAUAAUUUAACAUCACCCAGCCAGGAAGUGGUUGUGUCAAAAGCUCAUGCAGUUUUGUUCUGCCCUUGCCUGUAUAGGAUCCAAAGAUAGUCUGAGCAACCACAUGGAUGUUAAGAGUACAAGACAACAAAGAUUUGAAGGUUACAACAAAAAUCCUUGAUUGAAAUAUGUUUUUAUUUUUAUUUUUUAGUGAUAGGGUCUCACUCCAUUGUCCUCACUAUUUAAUCUCAAACUCCUGGGCUCAAGCAAUCCUCCUGCCUCAGCCUCCCAAGUAGCUAGGACUACAGGCACACAUCUCCACACCUGGCUAAUUUUUUUAAAACAUUUUUUGUCGAGAUGGGGUAUUGUUAUGUUGCACAGAAUGGUCUCAAACUCCUGGCCUCAAGCGAGGCCUCAGCCUCCCAAAGUGGUGGGAUUACAGGCAUGAUUAAAAUAUUAGGGCUGAGUGCAG
RNAcentral lists this long non-coding RNA (1017 nucleotides) under Homo sapiens (human). RNAcentral describes it as "non-protein coding lnc-PTP4A1-3:1". The record is from RNAcentral. Lineage: Eukaryota; Metazoa; Chordata; Mammalia; Primates; Hominidae.